RNAcentral lists this ribosomal RNA (198 nucleotides) under uncultured bacterium. RNAcentral describes it as "partial 16S ribosomal RNA". It matches the Rfam family "Bacterial small subunit ribosomal RNA", at positions 328 to 539 of the family's 1533-position model. The record is from RNAcentral.
ACGCUCGACACCUACUGGAGGCAGCAGUGGGGAAUAUUGCACAAUGGGGGAAACCCUGAUGCAGCGACGCCGCGUGAGUGAAGAAGUAUUUCGGUAUGUAAAGCUCUAUCAGCAGGGAAGAAGAUGACGGUACCUGAGUAAGAAGCCCCGGCUAACUACGUGCCAGCAGCCGUGGUAAUCUGAGCGGGCUGGCAAGGC